RNAcentral lists this ribosomal RNA (267 nucleotides) under uncultured bacterium. RNAcentral's name for it is "partial 16S ribosomal RNA". It matches the Rfam family "Bacterial small subunit ribosomal RNA", at positions 793 to 1055 of the family's 1533-position model. The record is from RNAcentral.
GUCCCGGCCCUAAACGGUGCGCAUUUGCUGUAGGAGGAAUCGACCCCUUCUGUGGCGAAGCUAACGCGAUAAAUGCGCCGCCUGGGGAGUACGGUCGCAAGAUUAAAACUCAAAGAAAUUGACGGGGGCCUGCACAAGCGGUGGAGUAUGUGGCUUAAUUCGAUGCAACGCGAAGAACCUUACCUGGCCUUGACAUGCAUGUGGUAGAACCGUGAAAGCGGGACGACCCCGCAAGGGGAGCAUGCACAGGUGCUGCAUGGCUGUCGU